AUGGCUCCAAGUAUAAUGGCAGCUCUGCAUGUGAUGUCAUCUGUUACAUCCUUAUCACAUGCAGAGAAGAAGCGCAGCAACUCCCCAGAAGGUUUGGAAGGGAGAGGCGAUAUUGCACUUCGAAGCCACUUGGCAGUUGUCAUGGCUGUGCUCACUGGGGUGAAAGGAGCCAUCUUUGAGUUGCAGAAGCUAUUUCCAUUAGGUGACGGACAGAAACGUGGAGGAGACAUUGGGGCUCGACUUGCUGUUGAUUUGGUAGGUGAGGCCAUAACAUCGUCAUACUUUCUCUGCAAGAUCACAGAUAAUUAG
RNAcentral lists this ribosomal RNA (309 nucleotides) under Triticum aestivum (bread wheat). Its description in RNAcentral is "partial small subunit ribosomal RNA". Lineage: Eukaryota; Viridiplantae; Streptophyta; Magnoliopsida; Poales; Poaceae. The record is from RNAcentral.